This 790-nucleotide small RNA is filed under the name uncultured Cryptococcus. RNAcentral describes it as "eukaryotic LSU rRNA". The stretch from base 505 to 790 matches the Rfam family "Eukaryotic large subunit ribosomal RNA", at positions 1 to 281 of the family's 3401-position model. The record is from RNAcentral. Lineage: Eukaryota; Fungi; Basidiomycota; Tremellomycetes.
CUUGGUCAUUUAGAGGAAGUAAAAGUCAUAACAAGGUUUCCGUAGGUGAACCUGCGGAAGGAUCAUUAAUAAUGCCCUCUGGCUUCGGUCAGCUGGGUUCAAUGUGUGUCAUCUCUUCGGAGAUGGCCAUCCACACACACCGUGAACUGUGACUUCGGUCAUCACAAACUUUUAGUAAUGAAUGUAAAAAUCAUAACAAAAUAAAACUUUUAACAACGGAUCUCUUGGCUCUCGCAUCGAUGAAGAACGCAGCGAAAUGCGAUAAGUAAUGUGAAUUGCAGAAUUCAGUGAAUCAUCGAAUCUUUGAACGCACCUUGCGCCCUUUGGUAUUCCGAAGGGCAUGCCUGUUUGAGUGUCAUGAAACCUCACUCCACUUGGGUUUUUGCCUGAGUGGUAGUGUAUUGGGUGUUGCCUUGCCAAAGGCUCGCCUUAAAAGAAUAAGCACCUUGGAUGUAAUACGUUUCAUCCUUUCGGGUGGCUAAUAACCCCACAUAACUCAUGAUCUGGCCUCAAAUCAGGUAGGGCUACCCGCUGAACUUAAGCAUAUCAAUAAGCGGAGGAAAAGAAACUAACUAGGAUUCCCUUAGUAACGGCGAGUGAACCGGGAUGAGCUCAAAUUUGAAAUCUGGCGUCUUUCAGGCGUCCGAGUUGUAAUCUAUAGAGGCGUUUUCCGCGCCGGACCGCGUCCAAGUCUCUUGGAAUAGAGUAUCAAAGAGGGUGACAAUCCCGUACUUGACGCGACAACCGGUGCACUGUGAUACGUUCUCAACGAGUCGAGUUGUUUGGGAAU